UACAGAGGGGGCAAGCGUUGUUCGGAAUUACUGGGCGUAAAGGGCGCGUAGGCGGCCUGUUAAGUCGAACGUGAAAUCCCCGGGCUCAACCCGGGAACUGCGUCCGAUACUGGCAGGCUUGAAUUCGGGAGAGGGAUGCGGAAUUCCUGGUGUAGCGGUGAAAUGCGCAGAUAUCAGGAGGAACACCGGUGGCGAAGGCGGGUCUCUGGGCCGAUACUGACGCUGAGACUCGAAAGCGUGGGGAGCAAACAGG
Molecule: ribosomal RNA, 253 nt
Filed under: uncultured bacterium
Lineage: Bacteria
Description: partial 16S ribosomal RNA
Rfam family: Bacterial small subunit ribosomal RNA
Source: RNAcentral